GUGAAUCAUCAAAUCUUUGAACGCAAAUUGCACUCUCUGGCAUUCCGAUGAGUAUUCCUGUGUGAGGGUCAGUAUAAUCAAAAUAGUAGCGAUUCUGUGUUGGUAACGCACGGGAAUUUGGGUCAUUUUAACUCUUUUUUUUUAGAGGGCUAAAAAUAACAUUCUUUUUUGCUCACUUUUGAGAAGGAUUUAAUUUUUUUUUGUUUGUCUACACUGGUGUUUA
RNAcentral lists this unclassified non-coding RNA (223 nucleotides) under Glomeraceae sp. RNAcentral describes it as "partial internal transcribed spacer 2". The stretch from base 1 to 71 matches the Rfam family "5.8S ribosomal RNA", at positions 84 to 154 of the family's 154-position model. Lineage: Eukaryota; Fungi; Glomeromycota; Glomeromycetes; Glomerales; Glomeraceae. The record is from RNAcentral.